Molecule: long non-coding RNA, 299 nt
Organism: Salvelinus fontinalis (brook trout)
Lineage: Eukaryota; Metazoa; Chordata; Actinopteri; Salmoniformes; Salmonidae
Exons: 3
Source: RefSeq, a predicted model, not a curated record
UGAAGGGGUUUUAUCUGUACCUGGGAUGACGGACUGCAGGUGGAACGUCACAUUGACACCAAGCUGAAGGGGUUUUAUACCUGGGAUGACGGACUGCAGGUGGAACGUCACAUUGACACCAAGCUGAAGGGGUUUUAUACCUGGGAUGACGGGCUGCAGGUGGAACGUCACAUUGACACCAAGCUGAAGGGGUUUUAUACCUGGGAUGACGGACUGCAGGUGGAACGUCACAUUGACACCAAGCUGAAGGGGUUUUAUACCUGGGAUGACGGGCUGCAGGUGGAACGUCACAUUGACAC